AAAGUUUGAUGCUGGCUCAAGAUGAAAGCUGGCGGCGUGCUUAACACAUGCUAGUCAAACGGAAAAUAUUUCAUUGAGACUUCGGUGGAUUUGAUCUAUUUCUAGAGGCGGAAGGGUGAUUAACACAUGGGUACCCUGCCUUAUGCUCGGGGAUAACAGUCAAAAAUGGUUGCUAAUACCGCAUAACCGCACUGAGCUGCGUGGCUCAAUGUGAAAAACUCCGGUGGUAUAACAUGGACCCGCGUGGGAUUAUCUUGUUGGUGGGGUAACGGCUCACCAAGGCGACGAUCCAUAGCCGGCCUGAGAGGGUGAACGGCCACAUUGGGACUGAAACACAGCCCACACUCCUACGGGAGGCACCGGUGGGGAAUAUUGCACAGUGGGGGGAACCCUGAUGCAGCGACGCCGCAUGAAGGAACAAGUAUCUGGGUAUGUAAACUUCUAUCACACAGAGAGAGAUAGUGACGGUCACCUGAAUAGAGAAGCCCCGGUUAAUUACGUGCCCGCAGCCGUGGUAAUACGUAGGGGCCAAGCGUUAUCCGGAUUUAUUGGGUGUAAAGGGAGCGUAGACGGUGUGGCAAUUGUGAUGUGAAAGGCAUGGGUUCACCCUGUGGAUUGCAUUGGAAACUCUCAUAUUGGAGUGCCGGAGGGUAAGCGGAAUUCCUAGUGUAGCGGUGAAAUGCGUAGAUAUUAGGAGGAACACCAGUGGCGAAGGCGGCUUACUGGACGGUAACUGACGUUGAGGCUCGAAAGCGUGGGGAGCAAACAGGAUUAGAUACCCUGGUAGUCCACGCCGUAAACGAUGAAUAAUGGGUGUCGGGUGGGUGAGCCAUUCGGUCCCGUCGCAAACGCAGUAAGUAUUCCACCUCGGGAGGACGUUCGCAAGAAUGAAACUCAAAGGAAUUGACGGGGACCCGCACAAGCGGCGGAGCAUUUGGUCUAAUUGGAAGCAACGCGAAGAACGUAAUCAAGUCUUGACAUCCCCCCGUCGGGAAUCUAACCGUUCCUUUCCUUCGCGACAGGGGAGACAGGUGGUGCAUGGAUGUGGUCAGCUCGUGUCUGUGAGAUGAAGGGGUAAGUUCCCCAUCGAGCGCAGCCCCCAUCUUCUGUAGCCAGCAUCUAAGGUGGGCCCUCUGGGGAGAUCGCCAGCGAUAACCUGGUAGGAAGGCGGGGAGGACGUCAAAUCAUCAUGCCCCUUCUGAUUUGGGCUACACACGUGGCACAAAGGUGUAAACAAAGUGAAGCGAGAGGGGGCCGGGGAGCAAAUCCCAAAAAUAACGUC
Molecule: ribosomal RNA, 1282 nt
Filed under: uncultured bacterium
Lineage: Bacteria
Description: partial 16S ribosomal RNA
Rfam family: Bacterial small subunit ribosomal RNA
Source: RNAcentral